Molecule: long non-coding RNA, 1299 nt
Filed under: Brassica napus (rape)
Lineage: Eukaryota; Viridiplantae; Streptophyta; Magnoliopsida; Brassicales; Brassicaceae
Description: long non-coding RNA (BNAP_LNC016810)
Rfam family: tRNA (bases 779-851)
Source: RNAcentral
UUGCAUAAACGAGAAAACAACAAUGGAGUCAACGGCCACUGUUGCAUUGGAUCGUUCAGUUCAGCUAAAAGCUUUCGACGAGACCAAGACCGGCGUGAAAGGCCUUGUCGACGCCGGAAUCUCAGAGAUUCCCGCCAUAUUCCGUGCACCUCCGGCUACUAUAACAACCCCAAAACCACCUUCUUCGUCGCAGUUCACCAUCCCAACAAUCGAUCUCCAAGGAGGUGCUGACUCGAUCUCGCGGCGCAACUUGCUGGUGGAGAAGAUCGGAGACGCGGCUGAGAAGUGGGGCUUCUUCCAGGUGAUCAAUCACGGUAUCUCGCCAGAUGUGAUGGAGAGGAUGAGAGAAGGGGUUCGUGAGUUUCACGAGCAAGACCCGGAAGUGAGGAAAGGGUUCUAGGAAGAGAGAGGGAAGGGGAGAGACAUCUGAGCAGAGGGCGCGUAUAACUGCAGGAGAAUGCAAACGGAGAUCUUGUGCGGAGUCACCGCAAAAGCGCCGGCUGUUCUCGUUAAUCCGGCCAUCUCUGUCGCCGCCGCUAAAGUACAAUCGCUCUCGCCGGUUAUCUCCUCCGAUAAGGAGACGGGAUUAGGUCACUGGGGGGAUUUACUUAUUUUGAAGUUUUGACUCGAGUCUGUCACCGGGAAAGGUUUGAAAUGAAUUAACAAAAAUCUUAGAGAACCGGUUAUUUCAUGCCGUCCGGUUUAGAGUAUCGGUUACCUAGAGGCCGGGUGUGAAACCGCUAUAAAUCUAUAAGUUUACAACAAUACCAACAACAACGGGGAUGUAGCUCAGAUGGUAGAGCGCUCGCUUAGCAUGCGAGAGGUACGGGGAUCGAUACCCCGCAUCUCCAUUUUUUUUAUUUUAUGAAAUUAUCCGAUUUAGCCGCCUGUUUUUUUCCAAUGUUUUUUUUCCUUGUUUCUCCCACGUGGUCACGUGAAUCACGUUUAAUUUUCAUUUUCAAACCUAACUUGAUCGUUCGUUGACUUGGAACAUUUCACAAGUGUUAACUUUAAAGAAGGAACUGUUAGUUUAAUCUCGGCAAUCAAUAUCUUUGCAUAAACGAGAAAACAACAAUGGAGUCAACGGCCACUGUUGCAUUGGAUCGUUCAGUUCAGCUAAAAGCUUUCGACGAGACCAAGACCGGCGUGAAAGGCCUUGUCGACGCCGGAAUCUCAGAGAUUCCCGCCAUAUUCCGUGCACCUCCGGCUACUAUAACAACCCCAAAACCACCUUCUUCGUCGCAGUUCACCAUCCCAACAAUCGAUCUCCAAGGAGGUGCUGACUCGAUCUCGCGGCGC